AGCGAACGCUGGCGGCAGGCCUAACACAUGCAAGUCGAACGAACCUUUCGGGGUUAGUGGCGGACGGGUGAGUAACACGUGGGAACGUGCCUUUAGGUUCGGAAUAACUCAGGGAAACUUGUGCUAAUACCGAAUGUGCCCUUCGGGGGAAAGAUUUAUCGCCUUUAGAGCGGCCCGCGUCUGAUUAGCUAGUUGGUUGAGGUAAUGGCUCACCAAGGCGACGAUCAGUAGCUGGUCUGAGAGGAUGAUCAGCCACAUUGGGACUGAGACACGGCCCAAACUCCUACGGGAGGCAGCAGUGGGGAAUCUUGCGAAAUGGGCGAAAGCCUGACGCAGCCAGGCCGCGUGAAUGAUGAAGGUCUUAGGAUUGUAAAAUUCUUUAACCGGGGACGAUAAUGACGGUACCCGGAGAAGAAGCCCCGGCUAACUUCGUG
Molecule: ribosomal RNA, 434 nt
Filed under: uncultured bacterium
Lineage: Bacteria
Description: partial 16S ribosomal RNA
Rfam family: Bacterial small subunit ribosomal RNA
Source: RNAcentral